UACGGAGGGUGCGAGCGUUGUCCGGAAUCACUGGGCGUAAAGGGUGCGUAGGCGGCUUUGUAAGUCAGUGGUGAAAUAUGGCAGCUCAACUGUCAGGGUGCCAUUGAUACUGCGGAGCUUGAGUACAGAUGAGGUAGGCGGAAUUGACGGUGUAGCGGUGAAAUGCUUAGAUAUCGUCAAGAACACCGAUAGCGAAGGCAGCUUACUAGGCUGUAACUGACGCUGAGGCACGAAAGUGUGGGGAUCAAACAGG
Molecule: ribosomal RNA, 253 nt
Filed under: uncultured bacterium
Lineage: Bacteria
Description: partial 16S ribosomal RNA
Rfam family: Bacterial small subunit ribosomal RNA
Source: RNAcentral